This 495-nucleotide ribosomal RNA is filed under the name uncultured bacterium. RNAcentral describes it as "partial 16S ribosomal RNA". It matches the Rfam family "Bacterial small subunit ribosomal RNA", at positions 28 to 507 of the family's 1533-position model. The record is from RNAcentral.
GACGAACGCUGGCGGCGUGCCUAAUACAUGCAAGUAGAACGCUGAAGGAGGAGCUUGCUUCUCCGGAUGAGUUGCGCACGGGUGAGUAUCGCGUAGGUAACCUGCCUGUUAGCGGGGGAUAACUAUUGGAAACGAUAGCUAAUACCGCAUAAGAGUAGAUGUCGCAUGACAUUUGCUUAAAAGGUGCAACUGCACCACUACCAGAUGGACCUGCGUUGUAUUAGGUAGUUGGUGAGGUAAAGGCUCACCAAGGCAACGAUACAUAGCCGACCUGAGAGGGGGGACGGCCACACUGGGACUGAGACACGGCCCAGACUCCUACGGGAAGCAGCAGUAAGGGAACUUCGGCAAUGGACGGAAGGCUGGCCGGGCAACGCCGCGUGAGUGAAGAAGGUUUUCGGAUCGUAAAGCUCUGUUGUAAGAGAAGAACGAGUGUGAGAGGGGACAGUGCACACUGUGACGGUAUCUUACCAGAAAGGGACGGCUAACUACGUG